Molecule: long non-coding RNA, 294 nt
Organism: Anguilla anguilla (European eel)
Lineage: Eukaryota; Metazoa; Chordata; Actinopteri; Anguilliformes; Anguillidae
Exons: 3
Source: RefSeq, a predicted model, not a curated record
AACAACAGCAGUCUAGAGAUGCAAAUAAAGCUUGCAGCUUCAAGCACACAACGACUCCAAUGGACCCUGAGCAAGACACCUCUUCUACAAACAAUUCUUGGAUAAACCUGGUUGUUUUCACCAUACAAGCGGUCACGGGCACACUACAGUAUGCGAUCAAGAAAACUGUAAACUGGCCUACAAGCUGUGGAGAUCCCUGAUGAAGGACAAGGUGACCGAGACGUUGUUUCACUAAUAAAUUCCUUUCUAAGUGAGACAAGGGGCUUCACUCACAAAACAUGCGUACGAUCACAU